This 460-nucleotide ribosomal RNA is filed under the name uncultured bacterium. Its description in RNAcentral is "partial 16S ribosomal RNA". It matches the Rfam family "Bacterial small subunit ribosomal RNA", at positions 338 to 795 of the family's 1533-position model. The record is from RNAcentral.
CCUACGGGAGGCAGCAGUGAGGAAUAUUGGUCAAUGGCCGUAAGGCUGAACCAGCCAAGUCGCGUGAGGGAAGAAGGAUCUAUGGUUUGUAAACUUCUUUUAUAGGGGAGUAAAGGUAUCCACGUGUGGAUGUUUGCAUGUACCAUAUGAAUAAGCAUCGGCUAACUCCGUGCCAGCAGCCCGGGUAAUACGGAGGAUGCGAGCGUUAUCCGGAUUUAGUGGGUGUAAAGGGUGCGUAGGUGGUAGUGCAAGUCAGCGGUGAAAGGUGGUGGCUCAACCAUAGGAUUGCUGUGGAAACUGGACGGCUUGAGUGUGUGUGAGGUAGGCGGAAUGCGUGGUGUAGCGGUGAAAUGCAUAGAUAUCAGGCAGAACUCCGAUUGCGAAGGCAGCUUACUGAGCUAUAACUGACGCUGAAGCACGAAAGCGUGGGGAGCAAACAGGAUUAGAUACCCUUGUAGUC